Molecule: long non-coding RNA, 217 nt
Filed under: Volvox carteri
Lineage: Eukaryota; Viridiplantae; Chlorophyta; Chlorophyceae; Chlamydomonadales; Volvocaceae
Description: long non-coding RNA (VCAR_LNC003413)
Source: RNAcentral
GGAAUUUUCCCUUGUCGUCAAGCGGCAUCAUGCGGCGAGGAACUUUUUCUCUUGACAGCAAUGCCACUGUCCAACGCACCUUUGACAUGCACAACAAAACCAAAAACGUGCGUACUCGCCUAAUCGCCCUAUACAUAUACAUCCGGGCAGAUGCCUUAGGCAAGUAAAAACAGCAAGUCCAUCGCAAUCGGUGAGCACGUCAACCGCACGAGGAGAG